ACUCGGACUCUCCAGGCCUCGCGGCUCCGCCUGGUGCCGCCUGCAGCGGCUGCUGUCUCCCCUUCCCGUGCGCUGCCCCACAUUCCGACCUCGGCCCGCUCUCACCUUUCUCAGGCCACUGCUAUCCUUCACGUGCGACUUCGCUGAAACGCGCCACCAAACCCGCGCCUCAACUCGGGGCGCUGGUUUACCUUCUCCGCAUGCGCAAGGCGGGAUGAGCUCGGAGACUAGCCGGCCUUCCUCACAAUCGAAGCCUGUGCCGGGAGCGCAUGCGCCCCGCUUUAUCUAUUGCGUUUCUUUUUCCCCCCACAAGCAUUCCCACCGAGAGAAGAAUGGGAUCGGAAGUUCCAGCAGGGAACGGAAGUCUCUGGCUGGAAAGGGGAAAUAAGUGACUAUAUCUGGGCUGUAGAUUGAAUGUUGCCUUUUCCUAAGCCACCCAUGGCUCUGCCCUGCCUCAUCCUGUGCCUAGAAAGACCCCAGACUCAUCUGGCAGAGAGGAGAAGCAGCUGGAUGAGGGGACGACCAUGGCUGGAUGUCAGAGAGAAGCAGCUUGUCUUCAGAGGGACAGCUUAAGGCGUAACUUCUGAGACGAAUCUGGCUGGAGAUAGCUGGACUUCAAGGGAAGACUACAUACCGGCCUGUCCCACCCCCCUCUUUUCAGCUCACCUUCCCUCUGAAAUCCACUUUGAUCAGCAAUAAAAUCCCAGGCAUUUGUCCUUUAAUUUGUUCGUGCAGCUUUAUUUUUCUUGGACGCUGGACAAGAGCUCGGGAGCCACGAGUGCGGAUACAAAAGCUGUCACGCUGGCCCUCUGCCCUUGCUGGUGGAGGGCAACCGCGGGCCCACGGAGCUGUUAACACUUAAGCUGUCCACGGACGACAGAGCCAAAAGAACACUGUAACAUGCCCUCUGGGGCUUCAGGAGCCUCAGGCACUCUGCCUGGACACUGCCCCGGGGCCUGCACGGAGUUCGCUCCUGCCGGUGUCCAAAAGCGCACGCUCUGGCUCCUGCACCCACUCACCUGCACGCUCCCUCCUAUGAGGGGUGGAACGCGGUGAAUCUUGAGUGAGUGGAGUGUGAUCCCACUGGUGCUGAAAAACGGCUGGCUUGUUCCAGCGCUUGUGCACUCCAGUUCCCGCCUUGUUCACUUGCGUACUCCCUCCCAUGAGGAGUUGAGAGCAGCGGGCUGAGUAAACGGGGCACCCCUGUUGUGAGUCCUGUGAAAGGUCAGGGCAAUAUCCUGCUUCAGCAGCACCGUGAAGGAGAAUGAACAGGGCUUCAGAAUGAGGUGAUCUCUUGCCUGUCGUGUGAUCCUGAGCACACAGCUUCAUUUCUCUGAGCCUUCAUUGCUUGACGUUCAAGAACUAUAAAGGACCUAAAAAUACCACUUCACAGUAGGUGUGAAGUUUCAAGGAAGCAACAAGCAUGAACAUUAAAAAAAAAAAAAAAAAUCCAGGUUGCUGACUGAAUGUUUUUAUCACCAUCAAGAGCUGUCAUAGGAGAGCUUCCUUUUGAUGUUAAAACUUGUUUCUCAAACUCAACCCUCUAAAACGUAACUCUUCCCUCCCACCCCCAACCAUUCAGCCUUCCAGUUCUGCCUUCCUCCUAGAGUACACACUCUGUAGGCUCCCAAUCUGUCACCUCACCCAGUUGUUUCUUUCCAUCAGAUGUUCCUCAGACACAUCCAUCUUCAUCUGAGCUCUUGUCACUUCCUGCCCCUCAGCUAAGAGUCCUUCUUCCAGGACAGGCUCUGGUAGCAUCCUAAACCUCACCUUCCAGCUUUUCUAACAGUUUCAAUUUUACAUUUGCUUGUGCGAUCCUUUCUGAUGUCUAAGAUUAACAAUCUCAGGUCACAGACUUUCCUGGGAAAGAAAUUUAACCUUUUUUUUUUUCUAUGACAAAUUAAUUUCUUUUCAACUCUCUUUUCCAUGUGGGUAGUAGAAACAGUCUCAGACAGUUCAGGGUUCUUCCCAUCCUUGAUUUUCAGGUCGUAGACACCUUUUGGAAAAUGAAUAUAGGGCCAAAGUUGGGGGAGAAAAUGUAUCUAAUCCUGGCCGGGGGCAAUGGCUCACACCUGUAAUCCCAGCACUUUGGGAGACUGAGGCAGAGGGAUCACUUGAGGUGAAAGAGUUCAAGUCCAGCCUAGCCAAAAUGAUGAAACCCUGUCUCUCUAAAAAUACCAAACAAAACUAGCCAGGUGUGGUGGUGUGUGCUGUAAUCCCUACUCAGGAGGCUGAGGCAGGAGAAUCACUUAAAUCCAGAAGGCAGAGGUUGCAGUGAGCCAAGAUCACGCCACUGCUCUCCAGCUGGGUGACAGUGAGUGAGACUCCAUGUAAAAAAAAAGAAAAAAAGAAAAUUCAUCUAAUUAUCAGUGUCAGUUGUUUAAGCUGGCAACUUCUCCCUGACUAAUCUUCUGUCACUUAUCCACACAGAUUGCUACUGAAGAUACCUGGGAAAUUAAGCUUCUUUUGGGUCUUUGGCCAAUGUGUCCCCAUGCUCCCCAGGCAGCAACAGCAGCUUUGGUCUGGGAGGAACAAGGCAUAGAGUUCCUUCCUCAGGGACCCACCAGCACCAAUGCAUAUAUCUCUUUUCCCUUAACUCUCCCUGUUUCUCUGAAACCAAGUGCCCUGAAUUUUUUCUAUUCCCUGUGGGCUGGCUUAUGAAACGGAAAAGCCUUGACAGGACUUCCUUUUUCCUGCAUCCUGCUAUCAUAGCCAUAAACUCCCCAGUAGAGGGACACCUCUGGUUUUGCUCAUUGUGAUACUACCAACACCUAGUAUCGUGCCGGGCUGACACGCUAUGGGUACUCAAUAAAGAUUGGUUCAACAAUUAAUUACUGAGUCUCCCUCCUUCUAGUCUGUCCCACUCCAACCCAUCCAGUAAGUGUCUUCCAGAGGAAACUUCUGAAAGUAUGGUUAUCACUCCAUAGCUCAAAUGCAAACACAUGCUGUUGUGCUGCCAGCCCAAUCACCACCCAAGUUUUACCACCUUGGGUUCAAGGCCUCUCCUAAACGGAUCCAUUUUAUUUCCAACCACACAUCCAAGUACAGUAGUUGAGAUGACUGGCCUGUCAGGCAACCUGUCUUCCAACCAACAAUCAUCAUAAAGUUCCUGCUAUGUGCCAGGCACAAUGUGGCACUCUUACACUCUUGAGAGCAAGAGUAACCAGAACAAUUAUGGUUCCUGCCAUCAUGAAGUUUACAGUCUAGUGAAGAACCCAGACAUCAGAUACUUAUAAAUAGAUAAUUAAAUGAUUACAGUUCUUUGAAGUGGUUUGGAGGACAAUCACAGUUUGCUGUAUGGACUAAAUUUAAACCAGGGACCAUGAAAAGGGCUCCAGAGGAAGUGACAUUUAAGGUGAGACUGAAGUUUACAUUGGAGGGUUUGAGACAGGAGGGGGAAGAGGGAGGGGGGAGAGGACAGUGAUCCAGGCAGAAGUUCUGAAACCAGCCAGCGCGGGUAUGUUUGAGGAACUGAAAGGCCAAUGUGGCUGGAAAGAAGAUAAAGUGAGACUGUGAUGGUCAGCAUGGGCCAGAUGGUGCAAGACUUACGGGCAAGUUUCCUCAGCCAGAAACUCUCUCCCUCAUUCAUGGCCUCAGGAAUGACCCCUGGUUGGGGCUCAGAGAAUGAUACCCCAAAGUAUGGUGCUUUAGUAUUGUUUCUGAGCAAAUAGGCUCACUGCCUGAUGCACAUAGAAGCCAAUACUAUGGUACCAGCUUUUGAGAACAGAAAGGCUUUAUUGCAGGGCCACCCAGCAAGGAGACUGGAGGCAUGGCUCACAUCUGUCUCCUAAUUUGGGGUCUGGGGCAAGAUUUAAGGGGUCAGAGGGUGAUAUGGUUUGGCUGUGUCCCCACCCAAAUCUCAUCUUGAAUUCUCACAUGUUGUGGGAGGGACCCAGUGGGAGAUAAUUGAAUCAUAGGGGCAGGUCUUUCUUGUGCUGUUCUUGUGAUAGUGAAUAAGUCUCAUGAGGUCUGAUGGUUUUGAGAAACAGGAGUUUCCCUGUACAAGCUCUUUGUUUUUGCCUGCUGCCAUCCAUGUAAGAUGUGACUUGCUCCUCCUUGCCUUCUGCCAUGAUUGUGAGGUUUCCCCAGCCACGUGGAACUGUAAGUCCAAUUAAACCUCUUUUGUAAAUUGUCCAGUCUCAGGUAUGUCUUUGUCAGCAGCGUGAAAACAGACUAAUACAGAUGGCAAGGAAACGUAUUAGGAAUUUUGGCUUGGCAGGGUCUGAUUGGAGGGUGUCAAAUUUGACUACACGGGUAUGUUGAGGUGGAUUUUACCCCUGGAUCUUUCUGGUCAACAGACCCUUUGCUCCUGAAAGAGUUCCAGCAUUUAGGUUCCGAUCAUGUCUAGGUCUUCUUGGUACCACAGGGAGGAAUCAUUGGUUCUGGGUGUUGUUAGAUGUCAAAGCAUUUUCUAUUGGGCAUGCCCUACUGACAUGACUUGGAGUUUUGGCUCUGUCAUACCUACAAGAGAACAUGACAUUCUGUUAUCAAAAGAGUAGGCCCAGUUUGG
RNAcentral lists this long non-coding RNA (4510 nucleotides) under Homo sapiens (human). RNAcentral's name for it is "HSALNT0362956". The record is from RNAcentral. Lineage: Eukaryota; Metazoa; Chordata; Mammalia; Primates; Hominidae.